RNAcentral lists this transfer RNA (79 nucleotides) under Thermofilum sp. RNAcentral describes it as "tRNA-Glu". It matches the Rfam family "tRNA". From Rfam's summary of the family: Transfer RNA (tRNA) molecules are approximately 80 nucleotides in length. RNAcentral also lists the same sequence under 8 other names. The record is from RNAcentral. Lineage: Archaea; Thermoproteati; Thermoproteota; Thermoprotei; Thermofilales; Thermofilaceae.
GCCCCGGUCGUAUAGCCCGGUCAAGUAUGCCGGCCUCUCGAGCCGGAGAACCCGGGUUCAAAUCCCGGCCGGGGCACCA